UACAGAGGGUGCGAGCGUUAAUCGGAAUCACUGGGCGUAAAGGGUGCGUAGGUGGUCAAAUAAGUCAGAUGUGAAAUCCCUGGGCUCAACCUAGGCAUUGCAUUUGGUACUGUUUGGCUAGAGUGCAGUAGAGGAAUGUGGAAUUUCCGGUGUAGCGGUGAAAUGCGUAGAUAUCGGAAGGAACAUCAGUGGCGAAGGCGACAUUCUGGACUGUAACUGACACUGAGGCACGAAAGCGUGGGGAGCGAACAGG
This 253-nucleotide ribosomal RNA is filed under the name uncultured bacterium. RNAcentral describes it as "partial 16S ribosomal RNA". It matches the Rfam family "Bacterial small subunit ribosomal RNA", at positions 524 to 776 of the family's 1533-position model. RNAcentral also lists the same sequence under 1 other name. The record is from RNAcentral.